Molecule: non-coding RNA, 68 nt
Filed under: Methanobrevibacter sp.
Lineage: Archaea; Methanobacteriati; Methanobacteriota; Methanobacteria; Methanobacteriales; Methanobacteriaceae
Also listed under: 1 other name
Description: Fluoride sequence
Rfam family: Fluoride riboswitch aptamer (crcB RNA motif)
Source: RNAcentral
UAACAUUAAGGUGAUGAGGUUCCACCUUUAACCGUCAGUGAUUACUGAAUGAUGACUUCUAUUUUUCA